This 24-nucleotide non-coding RNA is filed under the name Arabidopsis thaliana (thale cress). Lineage: Eukaryota; Viridiplantae; Streptophyta; Magnoliopsida; Brassicales; Brassicaceae. The record is from RNAcentral.
AGGAUGAGAUAUGUGGAAGGCAUC